RNAcentral lists this ribosomal RNA (439 nucleotides) under uncultured bacterium. RNAcentral's name for it is "partial 16S ribosomal RNA". It matches the Rfam family "Bacterial small subunit ribosomal RNA", at positions 338 to 795 of the family's 1533-position model. The record is from RNAcentral.
CCUACGGGUGGCAGCAGUGGGGAAUAUUGCACAAUGGGCGAAAGCCUGAUGCAGCAACGCCGCGUGAGCGAUGAAGGCCUUCGGGUCGUAAAGCUCUGUCCUCAAGGAAGAUAAUGACGGUACUUGAGGAGGAAGCCCCGGCUAACUACGUGCCAGCAGCCGCGGUAAUACGUAGGGGGCUAGCGUUAUCCGGAAUUACUGGUCGUAAAGGGUGCGUAGGUGGUUUCUUAAGUCAGAGGUGAAAGGCUACGGCUCAACCGUAGUAAGCCUUUGAAACUGGGGAACUGGAGUGCGGGAGGGGCAGGCGGAAUGCCUGGUGUAGCGGUGAAAUGCGUAGAUAUCAGGAGGAACACCGGCGGCGAAGGCGGCCUGCUGGACCGCGACUGACGUUGAGGCUCGAAAGCGUGGGGAGCGAACAGGAUUAGAUACCCUUGUAGUC